RNAcentral lists this ribosomal RNA (468 nucleotides) under uncultured bacterium. RNAcentral's name for it is "partial 16S ribosomal RNA". It matches the Rfam family "Bacterial small subunit ribosomal RNA", at positions 27 to 506 of the family's 1533-position model. The record is from RNAcentral.
GGACGAACGCUGGCGGCGUGCUUACCACAUGCAAGUCGAACGGAAAGGCCCUGCUUUUGUGGGGUGCUCGAGUGGCGAACGGGUGAGUAACACGUGAGUAACCUGCCCUUGACUUUGGGAUAACUUCAGGAAACUGGGGCUAAUACCGGAUAGGAGCUCCUGCUGCAUGGUGGGGGUUGGAAAGUUUCGGCGGUUGGGGAUGGACUCGCGGCUUAUCAGCUUGUUGGUGGGGUAGUGGCUUACCAAGGCUUUGACGGGUAGCCGGCCUGAGAGGGUGACCGGCCACAUUGGGACUGAGAUACGGCCCAGACUCCUACGGGAGGCAGCAGUGGGGAAGAUUGCACAAUGGGCGGAAGCCUGAUGCAGCAACGCCGCGUGCGGGAUGACGGCCUUCGGGUUGUAAACCGCUUUCGCCUGUGACGAAGCGUGAGUGACGGUAAUGGGUAAAGAAGCACCGGCUAACUACGU